CCUUACUGUGAUGCAUCUAGUUGUACUAUAAUAGUUUUUUUAAAAUUAGACUUGUUCCAAGCUAAGAACCUUCUUUGAGGCAUAAAAAAGCAAUUUAACUGUGUUUUAGGGAUUUUCUUUGUCUUUUUGUUUUUUUCUUGAUGACCUCCUUUCUCUGUAAAAGCAAUGAAAGCCUCUAUGUUCUCGGAAAAAAUCGUAUUACUUUUCCAUUCCCUCACCAGAUACCCAAGGGACUUUGUCUUCAAGCAAGCCAGUACACAUUUGGAGGUUAACAGCUGAGACAGCUUUUUCUAUCUGUUCUUAUAGGAUCUUCUAAAUGAUUCAAGCAACUCUUUCAGUGGGGCUCUAAGGGAAUAAUGUGACCCAAACAGGCUGCUUGUUUUGGACCUGAGCAGUGGAUCUCUGAAGCAACUGGAUCUGAGCAUAGAUCUUCUGUGCUCUUUUGUGAAAGAGCUCUUUUGUGAAAUCCAGUACUUGAUAUUUUGCAUCCUUUAACAAGUGUAAAAAUUCACCUCCAUGGGACCUUAGCACAUGCUGAAGCAGCCUGAAUUUCCUAAGUUUCAAAGCCCACUUCUCCCAUGGCUACCACACAGAGUAGCGGAUGGCUCAGUCACUUGCGCUAUAAACUUUGGUUCUAUUUUUUGCACUGCUUUAGGGUUCAGCUCUUCGGCGUCUUUUGGAAAGCACACGAUAAUCAGCAUCAGUAACUUGCAGGAUAAUAUCAGCCCUUCCUCACUUGACAAAAAAGGCCAGAGGAACAUAGCAGCCAAGUUCAGGCUGGGCCUAGAAGAAGAGACUCAGUGUGCAUACCCAGGUGACCACACACAGAUGAUGGCGGAGGGCAGAAGAUGGGACACCUGCAAUGCUGGGUUAUUCUCAGCCGUCUCUCAUCCUGGGCUCAGCAAAACGCUUCUCCCAGCACAGAAGUAUUUGAGCCACAAGAGGUCACUGUUGUCAGGUAUCACCUACCGCAUGGACUGAAACUCCUUGCACCUAAAGGAUACCUGUCAGCAGUGCAACAAGCAACGUGCUGGCCAGCAGCAGCAUGCACCAAACACCCUUCUCUCAACUCCUCGCCACUCUGGGCGAGAAUGUGUGGGAAGAAGGGGCCCGCUUUGAAGAGAAACCACGAGACUGAAGCAGCCUCCCCGGUCCCCCUCAAUAUCGCACGUGAGUGCGCUUCCAGGUGGCUGACAGGGUUUCAGCGUGUAGAAGCCAGGUUUAAAGAGGAAUAAAAGUAAAAGAAGCCUUAAGAACGCUCGAGGU
This 1266-nucleotide long non-coding RNA is filed under the name Struthio camelus australis. RNAcentral describes it as "lncRNA (ENSSCUG00000003190.1)". Lineage: Eukaryota; Metazoa; Chordata; Aves; Struthioniformes; Struthionidae. The record is from RNAcentral.